Long non-coding RNA from Nematolebias whitei (Rio pearlfish), 440 nucleotides. RefSeq lists it as uncharacterized. The transcript is spliced from 4 exons. The record is from RefSeq and is a predicted model, not a curated record. Lineage: Eukaryota; Metazoa; Chordata; Actinopteri; Cyprinodontiformes; Rivulidae.
UUUUGUUUUAAGUGGCGACGUUUAAUUUGCUGAAAACGUUAUGUCGUGUUUGCACGAGGUUUUACGGUAAAGGACUCGAGUAGUAUUUUUUUUUCACACAGAAAGGAAAGAGGCUUCAAACGCCACCAGACGCUCAGCAGCAUCUCACCCCAGACAAUGGGCAAAGCUAACUGCACUGUAACUUAAAAUAGUGCGGUUCGUUAUUGUGGAAAAACGCGGAGUUGCUGUUACAGAAGGAGAUCCUGCUUUGAUUUGGCUGUGAGGACAAAACACGAGUCAGCUGCAAGGCCAAACCAGAGUCUAAGAUGCCCUGAGAGGGAGAAGAGAAAUGUAAAUGGCUUCCAAAGUAAAAGAUGCUGUGGUGUGGUACCAGAAAAAGAUUGGCGCCUACGAUCAGCAGAUAUGGGAGAAAUCUGUGGAGCAAAGAGAAAUAAAGGUCU